Molecule: small nuclear RNA, 115 nt
Filed under: Microcebus murinus (gray mouse lemur)
Lineage: Eukaryota; Metazoa; Chordata; Mammalia; Primates; Cheirogaleidae
Source: RNAcentral
GUGCUCGCUUUGACAGCACAUAUGCUAAAAUUGGAGUGACACAGAAAAGAUUAGCAUGGCCCCUGUGCAGGGAUAACACACAAAUUCAUGAAGUGUUCUACUGAAAAAAAUUUUU